UGAAUAUGCAAAAUGUAAAUGUCCCUGUUCCUGUACACCUCCUCUCCCUUCCCCUGGGAAAGGUUCAUUCAUUUAAUCAAAUCACAAGGCCAUCAGAUUUUAUACAUUAUUCUCAGUAAAAAUGUUUUGAUCUAUAAACUAUAUAUCAUUUUAUGACAACACUGAUGAAUGCUUGAGUCUGAUUCAUCAGAAGGUGUUGAUUCAUUUUCUAUAACAGCAGCUACAAGGUUUACAAUAGUACUUUUGUUUUAAUACAUUAUUAUUUCUGUAGUAACGACACACCAGGACAUGUAUCCUGCUUUACAGUAUAAGAAUGGAUUUUAAAAUUUAAUAUAGUGAUAGAUAGAUAGAUAGAUAGAUAGAUAGAUAGAUAGAUAGAUAGAUAGAUAGAUAGAUAGAUUUUCUGUGAGGAGCUUAUACCACAGAGUUUUGAUAAGAUGGAGUGGUAUCAUGCAAGUUACGCUUGUGCAAUGAUAAAGUCCAAUGCAUAAAACUAUAUUAAAUUGAAAGCAUAUUAUAAAUUGCGUAAAUUUCCAGUCGGUGUAUAGAAACACUGGUUAACAUCAGAACUGAACAGGACAGACAUAAUAGUCAAAGAUGAUAACAACAAUCAGAGAUUAUGGACAAGGUAACAAAGUAUGUUAGCGUCACUUUAAGUAUUCAUAUUGUGACAUUUCUGUUAUUUAUUUAACAUUUAUGGAAGGAGUCUCCAGUGUUAGCUUUGUAACGGUUUUCCACCACAGGAAAGUCUUCAGAGCAGAGAAAAUGAUUAAAUGUAAAUGAUUAAAUGUAAAUAUUAAUAAAUAAAAUUGGGGCAGUGGUGGCUUGGCGGUUAAGGCUCUGAGUUACUGAUCGGAAGAUCGGGGUUCACUGCCAAGCUGCCACUGUUGGGCCCUUGAGCAAGGCCCUUAACCCUCUCUGCUCCAGGGGUGCUGUAUCAUGGCUGACCCUGCAGACCCUGCUGACCCCCAACUUCCUGACAUGCUGGGGUAUGUGAAGAAAAGAAUUCCACUGUGUAUAUGUGAUCAAUAAAGACUCAUUAUCAUUAUCAUUAAAAAAUAUGACAUCAUUAGCCCUUGAUCUUCUUGAGCGAGACUCUUAACUCUUAUCUGCUCAGCUCAGCUGUAAGCCACUUUGUAUAAAAUCAUCUGCCUAGUGAGCAAAUGUAAAUGCAAGUAUUAAUUUAAAUAUAAAUAUGUUAAUAAGACAAAUGCAUGUGCCUAAUUGGAGUGAUCAAGAUCUUGGCAUCCUCGAAGAGAUCUAGAAUAGUUUCUAAGUGUCUAAUACAGUAAAAAGUUCAAAAUAUUUCUCAAGUCGUCUACAAUUUUGUGCAAGACACCAGGGACCUUUUUUCAUUUUUUUUUUUUUCAUUUUUUUUUUUUAAAUAAAAUUGGUCUUAUUUUGUGUUUUUG
Molecule: long non-coding RNA, 1412 nt
Organism: Ictalurus punctatus (channel catfish)
Lineage: Eukaryota; Metazoa; Chordata; Actinopteri; Siluriformes; Ictaluridae
Source: Ensembl